RNAcentral lists this long non-coding RNA (1008 nucleotides) under Cavia porcellus (domestic guinea pig). RNAcentral's name for it is "lncRNA (ENSCPOG00000032227.1)". The record is from RNAcentral. Lineage: Eukaryota; Metazoa; Chordata; Mammalia; Rodentia; Caviidae.
AGGGGAAGGGAAACGCUUUCAGCAGACCUGGGCUGCUCCUCAGGACGUGUCCGCAUGUCCCUCUUGCUUUCCAGUUGCACGCAUGGGCCCACCACUGGGCUUAAGAGACUAUGCGCCCGGCAUGCUGCCCGGACGCCACGACCUGCCGCUACAUCCCCGCGAGUUCUUGCCGAGACCUGUGCCAUUCAGGCCUCCAGGCCCGCUCGGCGCCCGAGCAUAUUUCAUUUCGGAUCUGCGAAUGCCACCCGCUGGACUCCAAGACUACCGACCACCACCUGCCGGGCCCCAGGAUAACCCACCGAUGCCUGCCGGGCCCCAGGACAACCCACCAUGCCUGCCGGGCCCCAGGACAACCCACCACCGCCUGCUGGGCGCCAGGCCUACCCACCACCGCCUGCCGGGCCCCAGGACAACCCACCACCGCCUGCCGGGCCCCAGGACUACCAACCACCAAGUGCCGGGCUCCCGGACUACCCACCGCCGCCUGCCCGGCCCCACGACUACCCACCGCCGCCUGCGGGGGUCCCAGGAAAACCCACCACCAAGUGCCGGGCCUCAGGACCAUGGAUGGCCGCCCUCUGCGAGCCUAAACUUCGCAUGCUGUGACAUUCCCAGAGCCGACUUCGAUCCCGGCCCUGGCCCCGUGGCCAACAGCAGCUCCCGCGGCUCCUCCCCAGCGAAGGACAUGGACAACGCCAAGGCUGCUGUGCCUCCUGGUCCUUAGGCUGAUGCCUUGGCAGCCUUCACACCGCAUGGGGCCGCCUGCAAUGGUCAGAGCUCCAUGGACUGCCUCCCAAGCAGCCCAGGCACAGGCGCCUCCGCCAGCCCCUCCCUGUGCAGUGUCAACAGGCCGAGGUAGCUUCCUGUUCUCCCCAGAUACCCCGGGACCCUGGGAGCCCUUGUGCCGCCCCUGUCGUGCCCAGGGCCACGCUCAUGCUGGCAAGAGUGCAGCGAGCUGGUGCAGCGCCCCGCUGGCACCUCUGGAGCUCAUCUCUGCACACAAGUGGG